RNAcentral lists this ribosomal RNA (374 nucleotides) under uncultured eukaryote. RNAcentral's name for it is "partial 18S ribosomal RNA". It matches the Rfam family "Eukaryotic small subunit ribosomal RNA", at positions 592 to 975 of the family's 1831-position model. The record is from RNAcentral.
CAAUAGCGUAUAUUUAAGUUGUUGCAGUUAAAAAGCUCGUAGUUGGAUUUCGGUUAAGAGCGACCGGUCCGCCGUUUGGUGUGCACUGGUUGGUUUUAACUUCCUGUAGAGGACGUGCUCUGGGUUUAACGACCUGGACUCGGAGUCUACGUGGUUACUUUGAAAAAAUUAGAGUGUUCAAAGCGGGCUUACGCUUGAAUAUUUCAGCAUGGAAUAACACUAUAGGACUCCUGUCCUAUUUCGUUGGUCUCGGGACGGGAGUAAUGAUUAAGAGGAACAGUUGGGGGCAUUCGUAUUUCAUUGUCAGAGGUGAAAUUCUCGGAUUUAUGAAAGACGAACUUCUGCGAAAGCAUUUGCCAAGGAUGUUUNCAUUA